This 253-nucleotide ribosomal RNA is filed under the name uncultured bacterium. RNAcentral describes it as "partial 16S ribosomal RNA". It matches the Rfam family "Bacterial small subunit ribosomal RNA", at positions 524 to 776 of the family's 1533-position model. The record is from RNAcentral.
UACGAAGGGGGCUAGCGUUGCUCGGAAUCACUGGGCGUAAAGGGUGCGUAGGCGGGUCUUUAAGUCAGGGGUGAAAUCCUGGAGCUCAACUCCAGAACUGCCUUUGAUACUGGGGAUCUCGAGUCCGGGAGAGGUGAGUGGAACUCCGAGUGUAGAGGUGAAAUUCGUAGAUAUUCGCAAGAACACCAGUGGCGAAGGCGGCUCACUGGCCCGGUACUGACGCUGAGGUGCGAAAGCGUGGGGAGCAAACAGG